UUGUUCUGGUGUUGAGUGAUUGUAAGUGUUCGUAGUUCAGUGUGUAGUGUUUUUGAGAUUUUGUUUAAAUUUAAAACGAGAAUUUGUGGAAAUAGUUGCAGGUAGUGUUUGUAAUUGUCGUGCAGUUUUCUCCGUCAACAAACCCCAUGUUAGUCCGUAGUAUAGUAGCCUACCAUAGAAUGUCACCAUCAUCCAUCCAACAUACGAUGCUUCCAUCACCCACCACCAGAGGGAUAGGCAGAGUCUAUUGGUAACCAAAAACGGAUAAUGAAACGAAUUAUCAAGAUGGACGGUCUAACGGGCACGAUGAUUUCUCUGAGUCGACACGAAUGGUCUGGGUCACUGACCAGGACUUAGAAAACAGUGACCCAGGUUUACUAAAAAUCACUUUCCUUGUAACCCUCAACCAAAUACGGUCGUAAACUGGAAGCGUAAGCUAGUGAUAGUUAAUUAGAACACGAAAAGACGCAGAGGAGUUGAGUGAAGUGGAAUAGGACAGCAGAACCCCGCUGUUUUGGACAGAACUUCGGUUCUGGCGGUUCAUCAACCAACCCCCCCCCCCCCUUACGUUGUGGGCAGUUCCGGCGAAGACGCCGUUGACCGAGUCCGUCACCAUACUCGGAGGCUCGGGGAAUGGACGAGGUCCAGAAAUGACGUCAUCGUCAUCCCAAAAUGGAAGGAGUAGGAGAGAAGCCGACCAUCAUCGUAGACACAGCAAUGGAGAAGGUCGUGGUGAUGGAUGGUGGAAGAAGAGGGGCCCCGAAGAAGUUAGAAGAAAAGGACAGGUUAGAGUAGAUUAAGAAAGUGGGAAAGCUGUGAAAGUAAAGGCCGGAAAAGUCCGGAAUAAAUGUAGUUUGUGUCGAAA
This is a long non-coding RNA of Aedes aegypti (yellow fever mosquito), 865 nucleotides long. RefSeq lists it as uncharacterized. The record is from RefSeq and is a predicted model, not a curated record. The transcript is spliced from 2 exons. NCBI's taxonomy places the organism in Eukaryota, Metazoa, Arthropoda, Insecta, Diptera, Culicidae.